GGAUUCCAUUCGCAGUUAGUUCAGUAGCGUGGAUGGAGAAUAACGCGUGGCUGGAGGAACAAUUGAAAAAUGGAUAAGAUAAUAAAACAAAAAAAAUUAUCAAAUUAUGAAGCUGCAGGCCCAGUUAUUGGAACAACACAAAAUAUUAGAUAACAACAAAGCUAAGGAUCGUAGGCCUAAUACGUAAUGAUUCUAUUUAUUUGCUUUUAUUCAUUCGUGUUUUGUAGCUCAAAUUUUGAGUCUACUAGCUCAGCUAGGGGAAAAGAACAAAUUGGAACGAAACAGUUUCCAAACAGUGAAGGGGGUUUUUCAAAACUCAUCCCUAACUGAAUGUGAGGAUGAGUUGGCAUUAGGCGAACACAGCCAGUUAUUCAGUCCACCAUCUGACAUUGUGUGUUAAAGUUAGAUUCUGUUAGUGCUGCACUAAAAGAAUUGUUUGUGAUAAGCCCAUGCAGUGAAGGAACUGAACAAUUGUGGGACCGUAUUUGGGCCGAAAAUGGGUGUGGUACAGAAACCCAGAAAUGGCACAAGUUUAACAUGAAACAUGGAUUAGAAUUUUAGUGGGGGAUCAAGUCAAGUCUGGAAGUGUUACAGGAUGGAAGGGUGAGCCUACAGUUGAAAAACACUGAAAGUGCAUUACCAUUAAGAUAUGAGGUAAAGUAAUAGAGUAUGCAAAUUGUCUAAUGAGAAGUACCAUCUUGUGUGAAUGAAUCCUGUGUAACAGCAAUCCUUUAUAGUUCUGUCACAGCUAGAAGCCUCAAAUAAUUCUGCUUCUCUUGCUAAAGAACAACUUGUCCUUUAUGUUCAGGGUGUUGGUGAAGCUGGGUACUUAAAUGGCUCUAAAGAUGUUUCAUUUCAUUGACAUUGCAGCGAUGAACAUCAUACAUGGACUUUUUAGGAAAGGAUUUUCAGCAUACUGGGAACACAACUAUCAACAAUGCAACAUUCUAGGGGUGCUAUUUUAUCAUUCAAGAGCCUUAUACCAUGAUUUUCAUCUGCAAUUUGUAUGGCCUUUCCCAAGCUUCUGCCAGAAGUUGAAUCUAUAAGUCAUGUAAGUCACAUGAGCAACAAUUGAGAUGCUUAAUGGUGUUUUUCUUUUCUCAGCAUAGGUUAAUAGUAACAUUGGAUCUGAAAAAAAUUCUUGGUUGGGGCAUGACACUGAAUAAAUUGUAAUGAUUGAAUGGAUGACAUGACAUUUCUAUACUUCAUUCGGAUUCCCGAGAUGGUAUUUUAUAUUUAAAAAAUUGAAGUGCAUAUCUGGGCUCCCUUCC
Daphnia carinata is the source of this 1271-nucleotide long non-coding RNA. RefSeq lists it as uncharacterized. The record is from RefSeq and is a predicted model, not a curated record. The transcript is spliced from 5 exons. Lineage: Eukaryota; Metazoa; Arthropoda; Branchiopoda; Diplostraca; Daphniidae.